Long non-coding RNA from Amphimedon queenslandica, 646 nucleotides. RefSeq lists it as uncharacterized. The transcript is spliced from 4 exons. NCBI's taxonomy places the organism in Eukaryota, Metazoa, Porifera, Demospongiae, Haplosclerida, Niphatidae. The record is from RefSeq and is a predicted model, not a curated record.
CUCACAGCACGGUGUGCUAGGAAGGUAUCAACAGUGAUAUGUAUCCAUGAUGUACAUUGUCUUGAACCUGAUUGUAAUAACCACGGAUCAUGUGACAUGGGGGCAUGUUCAUGUUAGUCAUCAUGGACCAGAGAUACUUGUGGAUAUGUUACAUUGUUAGUGUACUUGUGAUCCUGGUUGGACCAAAAAACUGUGCCAAAACCUUGUCCUAGAAACCGUUGGAUCUGAUUUUAGGUCAUAUUGUUACUGCUGUAAAUGCAGCCACUGUCAUCCAGUGUGUGGUAACUGUUACGGUACAUACAUGUAUAUGAUACAGGAUACACUGGAGCAUACUGAUGAUAAUAUUUUAAAAGUGUAGUGCAUCUCCUCCAUUUAUUUACAAUGCUAACGAAGACGAUAAUCAAUUUAUUAUUAUUAUUAUAUUAAUUGGUUUAAGUACUGUAAUGAACUAAUGAUACAUACUAUACUAUAUAUGUACUGUUCACAUUAUGCUGUCAUGGUAACAGAGACAAAGUUUAACAAUUCAGAAAAAAGAGAGAAUUAAUGCAGGAAAGAGAAUGGGAACAGAUUAUGUUACAGAACAGUAGUACUGAUGAAAAAUUUAAUUAUACUUGUAUAAUAUAAAAGUAUUAUUUACUAUGAUUUC